AUUUACAGGAAACAAAUAGUCUUUCCCAUCACUCCAAUCUUUACUUAUCUACCUUGGCUUAACUCAUUAACUCCCACGACUGAUGUUGGGGUGCGAAAGCAGGGGGAGCAAACAGGAUUAGAUACCCUGGUAGUCCAUGCCGUAAACAAUGAGUGUUCGCCCUUGGUCUACGCGGAUCAGGGGGCCAGCUAACGCGUGAAACUCUCCGCCUGGGGAGUACGGUCGCAAGACCGAAACUCAAAGGAAUUGACGGGGGCCUGCACAAGCGGUGCUUUAGCUAGGAGCCUCUUUUCCUUCUGCCCAGCUCCCCGAAAACAACGUUCGACUUGCAUGUGUUAAGCAUAUAGCUAGAGUUCCUUCUGA
This is a non-coding RNA of Triticum aestivum (bread wheat), 363 nucleotides long. The record is from Rfam. NCBI's taxonomy places the organism in Eukaryota, Viridiplantae, Streptophyta, Magnoliopsida, Poales, Poaceae.